Long non-coding RNA from Daktulosphaira vitifoliae (grape phylloxera), 438 nucleotides. RefSeq lists it as uncharacterized. NCBI's taxonomy places the organism in Eukaryota, Metazoa, Arthropoda, Insecta, Hemiptera, Phylloxeridae. The transcript has 4 exons. The record is from RefSeq and is a predicted model, not a curated record.
GCCUCUGGCUGUGUAUACACUUGGGCUUAAGUUAUUGGAGAUGGUACGUUCCGUUAGGAACCAACAUGCGGCAAUGACCCCCUCUUACGAUACUAAUGAGUUAAUAAACUCUUACUUGAUAAACACUGAAUCAUCAAAUAUGUCAUUUAUAAACUUCAACUGUAAUAAAAUAGUUUUAGACGUAUGAUGUUUUAUCAGAAUAUCCUUCAGGUGCCUUCAAAAGACACUCCUGAAAAUCAAGUUGAAUUUAACUCCAGUUCUUGGAUAUAUAAUUGCUAAUAAGAUAAAAUAUUAAAAAAAAUGAAAAUGAACAGUUAACACGAUUACUGUGUUCAGUUGCGAAGAAAGUGGGAGAUUCCAAGUAGUAAAUUUUUAAUAUAGAUAUCAGACUAACAUGUUUAUUGUAGUUGAGUUGGUGAUAAUAAAUUUUUUUUUAAU